RNAcentral lists this ribosomal RNA (120 nucleotides) under Petromyzon marinus (sea lamprey). The record is from RNAcentral. Lineage: Eukaryota; Metazoa; Chordata; Hyperoartia; Petromyzontiformes; Petromyzontidae.
GCCAGCGGCAAAAUCGCCCGGAACGUGUCCUAUCUCAUCAGAUCUCAGAGGCUAAGCUGGUUUGAGCCUGGAUAAGUGCUUGGAUAGGUAACCACCGUGGAUAAACAGGUGUUGUAGGCG